This 202-nucleotide unclassified non-coding RNA is filed under the name fungal sp. RNAcentral describes it as "partial internal transcribed spacer region". The stretch from base 1 to 46 matches the Rfam family "Eukaryotic small subunit ribosomal RNA", at positions 1786 to 1831 of the family's 1831-position model. The record is from RNAcentral. Lineage: Eukaryota; Fungi.
AAGUCGUAACAAGGUAUCCGUAGGUGAACCUGCGGAUGGAUCAUUAACAAAGAUCCUCUCCACGUCUUGUGAACUGUUUUGAACAAAUGUCACGGUGUCCUAGCAAUAGGAUGACCUGACAGCCAUAAGUACUCAUUGACUGAAGUAUCAUCUACUAUAAAGUAACAGUAGACAACUUUUAGCAAUGGAUCUCUUGGCUCUC